GACGAACGCUGGCGGCGGGCUUAACACAUGCAAGUCGAACGGAAUCCAUGGAGCUUGCUCCGGAAGAUUUGGUGGCGAACGGGUGAGGAACACGUGAGAAACCUGCCCCGAACUUUGGGAUAACAGUUGGAAACGACUGCUAAUACCAAAUACAUCCGCGAUGUGGCAUCACAUUGCGAAGAAAGAAUUUCGGUUCGGGAGGGUCUCGCGGCCUAUCAGCUAGUUGGUGGGGUAAUGGCCUACCAAGGCAUCGACGGGUAGCGGGUCUGAGAGGAUGAUCAGCCACACUGGGACUGAGACACGGCCCAGACUCCUACGGGAGGCAGCAGUGGGGAAUCUUGUGCAAUGGGGGCAACCCUGACACAGCCACGCCGCGUGCGGGAAGAAGGCCUUCGGGUCGUAAACCGCUUUCAGCAGGAACGAAAAUGACGGUACCUGCAGAAGAAGGAGCGGCCAACUACGUGCCAGCCGCCGCCGUAA
RNAcentral lists this ribosomal RNA (480 nucleotides) under uncultured bacterium. RNAcentral describes it as "partial 16S ribosomal RNA". It matches the Rfam family "Bacterial small subunit ribosomal RNA", at positions 28 to 523 of the family's 1533-position model. The record is from RNAcentral.